GUACACUCCUACGGGAGGCAGCAGUGGGGAAUUUUGGACAAUGGGCGAAAGCCUGAUCCAGCCAUGCCGCGUGCAGGAUGAAGGCCUUCGGGUUGUAAACUGCUUUUGUACGGAACGAAACGGCCUUUUCUAAUAAAGAGGGCUAAUGACGGUACCGUAAGAAUAAGCACCGGCUAACUACGUGCCAGCAGCCGCGGUAAUACGUAGGGUGCAAGCGUUAAUCGGAAUUACUGGGCGUAAAGCGUGCGCAGGCGGUUAUGUAAGACAGUUGUGAAAUCCCCGGGCUCAACCUGGGAACUGCAUCUGUGACUGCAUAGCUAGAGUACGGUAGAGGGGGAUGGAAUUCCGCGUGUAGCAGUGAAAUGCGUAGAUAUGCGGAGGAACACCGAUGGCGAAGGCAAUCCCCUGGACCUGUACUGACGCUCAUGCACGAAAGCGUGGGGAGCAAACAGGAUUAGAUACCCCAGUAGUCCCAU
RNAcentral lists this ribosomal RNA (476 nucleotides) under uncultured organism. Its description in RNAcentral is "partial 16S ribosomal RNA". It matches the Rfam family "Bacterial small subunit ribosomal RNA", at positions 331 to 798 of the family's 1533-position model. The record is from RNAcentral.